This 432-nucleotide ribosomal RNA is filed under the name uncultured anaerobic ammonium-oxidizing bacterium. RNAcentral's name for it is "bacterial SSU rRNA". It matches the Rfam family "Bacterial small subunit ribosomal RNA", at positions 383 to 810 of the family's 1533-position model. The record is from RNAcentral.
GUGAUCGAGCGACGCCGCGUGUGGGAUGAAGGUUUUCGGAUUGUAAACCACUUUUGUUUGGGAAGAAGGCCUAUAUCGUGAAUAUGGGAUUGACGGUACCAAACGAAUAAGCCCCGGCUAACUCCGUGCCAGCAGCCGCGGUAAGACGGAGGGGGCAAGCGUUGUUCGGAAUCAUUGGGCGUAAAGGGCUCGUAGGCGGACUAGUAAGUCUGGCGUGAAAUCUCCACCGCUCACCGGGGAGAGGUCGCUGGAUACUGCUAGUCUUGAGUUCGGUAGAGGGUCGUGGAAUUUCGGGUGUAGCGGUGGAAUGCGUAGAUAUCCGAAAGAACACCGGUGGCGAAGGCGGCGACCUGGGCCUGAACUGACGCUGAGGAGCGAAAGCUAGGGGAGCAAACGGGAUUAGAUACCCCGGUAGUCCUAGCCCUAAACGAU